UACCAAAAUUCUUUGUCAGGGUGUUUCUGCGUACAUUCUAGUACAACUUACACAUACAGAAGGGCCUGUUACAGUUUUGGAAGAGCAAUACUACCCACCCUCGAUCUAUCCAUCGUUUUGAUGGAGUCAUGGUUGAAACCUAGUUGAACAAUCUUCGUUUUGAGGAUAUAUCAGCGCUUUUAUUUCGGGUACGGAGGAACUUAAGAGUUGAGCUUUGGAUCUGAAAAGAAUUAUUAUGCCAUGGCUCGUAGUAAAGAACCUCACAUCA
This 268-nucleotide small nucleolar RNA is filed under the name Kluyveromyces lactis. RNAcentral's name for it is "Small nucleolar RNA snR191". It matches the Rfam family "Small nucleolar RNA snR191". Lineage: Eukaryota; Fungi; Ascomycota; Saccharomycetes; Saccharomycetales; Saccharomycetaceae. The record is from Rfam by way of RNAcentral.